GCUUUGAUCCUUCUCCAAAUUAAGAAUAUAUCCUUAGUUCUUCUCAAGAGCUUAAGAUCAUUUUUACAGCAAUCCAGUGCUCACAGUCUAAAUUUAACUGAUAUCUACUCGUGACAUUCACGAUAUUAUUUAUAUCUGUUUGUUGGGUAUAAAAAUGUCCACAGCCGAAGUCCUCAGCGGAAUCGACUGCAUGACCACUCCGCCUGG
RNAcentral lists this long non-coding RNA (207 nucleotides) under Elaeis guineensis (African oil palm). RNAcentral describes it as "long non-coding RNA (EGUI_LNC051007)". The record is from RNAcentral. Lineage: Eukaryota; Viridiplantae; Streptophyta; Magnoliopsida; Arecales; Arecaceae.